CCGAACCUGACAUUACUGUGUGUUUGAAGGGUACAAACUCAAGCACAAAACUUUUGAGGCAUGUAGGAAUCCUUGUGUUGUAAAGCUUGAGGUAGUUACCUCAUCGGUAGAUAGUAUCUCCUUCCCUCUUCAUAUAGGUUUUAUGGCACAGUAUAUUCACCUGAUGAAAGUUGUUUCCACACACAGCUUGCUGUUAAUUGGAUUAGGGUAAAUAUUGCAUUGUGUAAUACUCGAUUACUUAGGGAGCUUCUUUAAAAUCUACCAUAGUGAUACUACCCCAGUAGAGCUUGCAUGUGUCCCUAUUUUGCUUUAAUAUCACAGUUCAAACCUCACCCAAUCUUCUCUUGUUUCAGAAAUGUGGUAGCUCUGCAUGUCUCCCGAUGGGCAAGCAGUGGUGCUGCUGUUGUUGCUCCUGCAGCAGCCACCUGGCACCCCCCUCUCUCCAAAAGGCUGUUCCUGGCCACAGUUUGGUCUAGGUGGGAGUCAUGCUGCAGGUUGGCAGUAAUGCUUUGCUCCUCCAUUUGGUGUCUCCCUUGUUCCAGGAAUAUAGACAUGUUUCUGAUUUCCUUUGGCUGCAAAGGGUUAAGCCAUACUCUUUAUUUUUAUGUGUGAUGGUUAGAUCCUCUCCAGAGAGACUACCUUAGGAGAAAGGAUUGGAUAAUUAAUGAAAAGGAGCAGCCCUUGCAGCCAAAGUAAUUUGGAGAGCAGUUGUUCCCCUCUUUUAAAUCAAGGUGGCAUUUACAGAAAUAGUGUGGAGUGCAAUUCAGCAGAAGCUGUAAAAGAGGCUUGUGUGCUGAUCGACUGGUCCUCUCUAAGCUAGCGUGUCCAGGAAGCAAGGUACCAAUCAGCUUUUGAGUUGACUAAAAGAACAUGCAGAAAUAAUGCCCCAAUGAUCCAGCGCAGUAUGGUCAGCCAGCCAUUCUGACCUAGGCAGGGUUCUGCAACAAGAAGUGUGCAUAGCUGAAUAUAAGGUCCAGCCAGUCCAGCUCUGUAAAAAAAAAACAAACUUUUUUUGCAGCACCAAACUAUCAAGCUGUUCCACCUCCUGAGAGCAACAUAGCCUCCCUCAUUUACUACCUUCAAAAUUGGUGAGCUACAUCUUCCAUCAUCCCUAGCCAUUGACUGGCUGGGAAUGAUUAGGAUCAUCUAGUCAACCCAUCUAGAAGACUCCAGGUUCCCCAUCUCUCUAGGAAACUUGUUUUAGACAAAAAGAGCCUUUCUCUUUCUUUUACUAUGGGAGAUGUAUUGGUUACCAGUUGGCUUCCAGGUGUUUUCAAGAUGCUAGUUGUUACAUUUAAGGCCCUUAAUGGUUUUCAGCCUGCUUGUCUGAGGGACCACCAUCUCCCAUAUUGAUCUGCUAUCCAGUCAGGUCAAACAGGGUCAACUCCCUCCAGGCCCAGUCUAUCUGAGAAUGCCAUUUGGACAGGACCUAGGAAAUGGGCAUUUUCUAUCACUUCCCUGCAGAAAUCUGGUCUACCUGUUCCCUCCUGGGUUUCAGGAGAGCAAUUAAGAGUUGGCUUUCCUAUGUAGACCAGGAGGAAGGCAUGUUAUGAAUGCUGGGAUGUAUUGGUGGACACAUGGCUUUGUAUGUUUUGUCCCUUACAAUGUUGUUACAUUUUUUAAAUUAUUUCUUUCAAGUGAGCUUAUUUUUUUCUUAGAGGGGCCUUUUUGUGAUGUUUCUGAUAGACACUCAGAGUUUUUGGGAAUGGGAGGGGGGCGUAUGGAUGAAUGGAUGUUGACCCCAAUGAAUGUUUGACCAGUUCUGACAUUACUCCAUAGUUGAUUUGAUUUAUACUUAUUAUUCUUUCCCAACUCACUCAACCCCUUUUAAUUCUUAAAUCUCCCAAACCAAGGGGAAAGCUAAGAAGUGCAUUACCCUGAGUUUCACUACUUUUAAGUAGAACAUGUUCAGUUAAAAGGAAUAUGGUUUAGGAGCCAGAUAGCAUUGGUCACAGGAUGGUCAAGGCAGGAAAAGAAGUCUCUAUUCUAUUGUUUUCUCCUAAAUAUUUUCUUUUCCUCUAGGUAUUUUGUUUACAGGUGAGCUUUGGGAAUUCUUGAGUUUCACUGAGCGUUAUCCUACCAUCAUCUAUAAUAUCCUUCUCUUUGGUCUAACCAGUGCUCUAGGUCAGAGUUUCAUUUUCAUGACUGUGGUCUAUUUUGGGCCUCUGACCUGCUCUAUUGUCACCACGACUCGCAAGUUCUUCACCAUUUUGGCAUCAGUCAUCCUAUUUGCCAAUCCUAUCACCAACUUGCAGUGGGUGGGCACCACCCUGGUAUUCCUUGGACUUGGCCUGGAUGCCAAAUUUGGGAAAGCAUCAAAGAAAACCUCACAUUAAGAAGAUUUUUGGUGUUUCUCUUGAAAACCUUAAGCAUAAGGAACUAUUAACUUAUUGUCUUAUUUCCCAGUACUGGGAAUUGGACUCAGGAUGAGUGCUUGGGGAAAGGGGACCAGAUAGGGUGGGUUGUUUUUAAUUCAAAAUGUGUUUGAUUUUUUUUUAAUGGUGGUUUUAUUUUACUAAAAAUCAAAGAAGUUAACUUUUCCAUAUCUACUGAGGAAUCAAAACUGUGGUUGAUGUAUGGCUAAAAUAAAUUCUUGAUGGAAUAGGAGGAAUGCUUCAUAUCAAAUAAAAGGAGGGGAGAGAAAGAAA
Molecule: non-coding RNA, 2648 nt
Organism: Python bivittatus (Burmese python)
Lineage: Eukaryota; Metazoa; Chordata; Lepidosauria; Squamata; Pythonidae
Source: RefSeq, a predicted model, not a curated record